AAUAACUUCCUUUCACUUCCUCCCAACAGUUGACUUUCUUGCCAUCAAUCUCUAUAAUUUUCACUCAUACAGAUAUUUGAAGAUUGAAGCUGCAUAUUCGACUGCUUGAGUUUGGUGCGGCUAUCUUUCAUAUUAUUUGAAGAUCAAAUCAAAACUUGAGAGCAUGAGUGGAAGGCUACAUGUGGAAGUAUGAAUUUAUUAUCUCCAAUAAUGGCAUCAAGAAUUUGGUGUGCGUUAAGUUAAUCAUGUAAGUAUUUGAAUCUUUCUGUAAUUGUUGCUUGUGAUUUAAUAAAUAA
This is a long non-coding RNA of Mangifera indica (mango), 296 nucleotides long. RefSeq lists it as uncharacterized. The record is from RefSeq and is a predicted model, not a curated record. NCBI's taxonomy places the organism in Eukaryota, Viridiplantae, Streptophyta, Magnoliopsida, Sapindales, Anacardiaceae. The transcript has 3 exons.